This 253-nucleotide ribosomal RNA is filed under the name uncultured bacterium. RNAcentral's name for it is "partial 16S ribosomal RNA". It matches the Rfam family "Bacterial small subunit ribosomal RNA", at positions 524 to 776 of the family's 1533-position model. The record is from RNAcentral.
UACAGGGGGUGCAAACGUUGCUCGGAAUCAUUGGGCGUAAAGAGCUCGUAGGCGGUUCGUCGCGUCGGCUGUGAAAUCCCGAGGCUCAACCUCGGGUCUGCAGUCGAUACGGGCGGACUGGAGUACUGCAGGGGAGACUGGAAUUCCUGGUGUAGCGGUGAAAUGCGCAGAUAUCAGGAGGAACACCGGUGGCGAAGGCGGGUCUCUGGGCAGUUACUGACGCUGAGGAGCGAAAGCGUGGGGAGCGAACAGG